UAUGGUGUAAAGGAUGACCAGACUUUUUUCCCCAGCAGAUCGACCCUGUUGACUGCUUUGUAUACUUAAGCCAAAUUUUCUGAUGCACCUAU
This is a small nucleolar RNA of Pygocentrus nattereri (red-bellied piranha), 92 nucleotides long. Ensembl annotates it as Small nucleolar SNORD12/SNORD106. Lineage: Eukaryota; Metazoa; Chordata; Actinopteri; Characiformes; Serrasalmidae. The record is from Ensembl.